AACGCACCUUGCACCUUCUGGUAUUCCGGAAGGUACAUCUGUUUGAGUGUCAUUAAAUUCUCAACCAUUCAGCUUUUGUUAGCUGUCUGGCUUGGAUGUGAGGGUUGCGGGCUGCGUAACAGCGGUCGGCUCUCUUUAAAUGCAUUAGCUGGGGACUAUUACUUGGUUCAAGUGCUUCGAUGUUUGAAGGCCUCCUGGUGUGAUAAUUAUCUACGCUGUUGGCUUAGUCUUUGCGCCUAUUGGAUCUUGGAAUGAACCUGCUUCUAACUGUCUCGCAAGGGACUAGUCCGCUACAGGGCUAAUAAUGACUAUUGUGACCUCAAAUCAGAUGGGACUACCCGCUGAACUUAA
RNAcentral lists this unclassified non-coding RNA (351 nucleotides) under uncultured Flagelloscypha. Its description in RNAcentral is "sequence contains ITS2". The record is from RNAcentral. Lineage: Eukaryota; Fungi; Basidiomycota; Agaricomycetes; Agaricales; Tricholomataceae.